RNAcentral lists this ribosomal RNA (586 nucleotides) under uncultured bacterium. RNAcentral describes it as "bacterial SSU rRNA". It matches the Rfam family "Bacterial small subunit ribosomal RNA", at positions 239 to 842 of the family's 1533-position model. The record is from RNAcentral.
GAUUAGCUAGUUGGUGAGAUAACAGCCCACCAAGGCGACGAUCAGUAGCCGACCUGAGAGGGUGACCGGCCACAUUGGGACUGAGACACGGCCCAAACUCCUACGGGAGGCAGCAGUGGGGAAUAUUGCACAAUGGGCGAAAGCCUGAUGCAGCAACGCCGCGUGAAGGAAGAAGGGUUUCGGCUCGUAAACUUCUAUCAACAGGGACGAAAGAAAUGACGGUACCUGAAUAAGAAGCCCCGGCUAACUACGUGCCAGCAGCCGCGGUAAUACGUAGGGGGCAAGCGUUAUCCGGAAUUACUGGGUGUAAAGGGUGAGUAGGCGGCAUGGUAAGCCAGAUGUGAAAGCCUUGGGCUUAACCCGAGGAUUGCAUUUGGAACUAUCAAGCUAGAGUACAGGAGAGGAAAGCGGAAUUCCUAGUGUAGCGGUGAAAUGCGUAGAUAUUAGGAAGAACACCAGUGGCGAAGGCGGCUUUCUGGACUGAAACUGACGCUGAGGCACGAAAGCGUGGGGAGCGAACAGGAUUAGAUACCCUGGUAGUCCACGCCGUAAACGAUGAGUGCUAGGUGUCGGGGAGGAAUCCCCG